AUUUCUCGUGAGUUAAGUCCUCGGUGUCAGAGGACUGCUGGUGUAGCUGCAUUUCUGGUGCGGAGGCCCUUUAUUUGACUGAUAGAGAAUUCCUCAGGCGGGAGGAGUUAAUCCCUGGCCUGAUGCUCCAAGCUUUUUGCACUUUUUGGCCCAAACUUCCCACUCCCAGAGACUCCCCACACAAUAGCACAAUAAGGCCUUUCAGUUCAUUUGAAGCAUUUGAAAGUGAAAGAACUUUACAAGCUCAGUAAAUGGGAACAGUAAAAUAAUUACAGUUAAAAUUAUUUGUUAUAGUUAAUUGAUAUAACAAUAUCCCCGGACGGGUUUACAGAGCCUGUAGAUACCGGAAGAUAAUUGAAAGCAUGUGGCAAGCCUGCCUCUGCACGAGUAAACUUCACCUGAGACUGACUGUAGUUUUUGUUUCAUUUUGAUUUCCUCAGAUGCUUCAUUCCUGUGCGAGAGAAACUCUGCUGAGGGACUUAACGUUGCUGGUAAACACUCUUUUCUUGAAAGCUGAUAUUUAAUGUUUUUAUCCGUCUCCUAGCAAUAUUUGCAGCUGAAACAAAUGUCGUAUCAACAUUUUUGAGUCAAAGCUCUUGAAGACUGUGAGGAACUUCAGAGCAACCUGACAAAUUCAGGCAAGCAAAGAGGGGAGAGUCAUUACCUCUGGAAACAGUGUACGAGGGGGACUGUGAUACUACAUUGUGACUGUUGCACCAGAGGCUGCCUUACUGAUUAUAAAGAUCUUUGCAACGUUACAUGAUCCAGGGAUUUCGUUGCUCUUAGUGUCACAAAUACAUGGAACCUAUUUAUGGAUGUAUAAGAAGUAUCAACAUUUUAAGUUUCCAUUGCAAGACAUAAUGGAGAGUGUUAAGAUGAAGACACUAAAAACUGUCAGCAUUAUUAUUAAGCACGCUCACCGCUUAACACACAGUGUCAAAUUAUAAACUACUCCAUUGCCUCCCCUCAUUCUGUGAUGCUUAAAGCAUCCUGUGUUCAGCAGUCCUUACCUUGCUUAAUUCUGGAGUUAUAUUUAACAUCAAACGCUUCCAUCCUGAAGUGGAUCCUUGACAGUCUUUAAUAUGACGAAAUGAUUUGGGCUUCCUGUCAUCCAGUUUAAAUCAGUUUUCUACCCAUGUAUAAAAAAAAAAAGAAAUUUGGAGCACAGCUCUUUCACAAUCUUUGAUGGCCACAAGCAAAACACUUCUAGUCCCAGCCUAACUCUCAAUUUCACUGCACUGCAUUGUCAUUGUAAUUGGAUGUGAUAGAUUUUCACUCUGUUUUAGUAAAAUUUUGUUUGCGCCUGAAUAAAUGUGCCACUAGCAG
Molecule: long non-coding RNA, 1326 nt
Filed under: Struthio camelus australis
Lineage: Eukaryota; Metazoa; Chordata; Aves; Struthioniformes; Struthionidae
Description: lncRNA (ENSSCUG00000013596.1)
Source: RNAcentral